Molecule: long non-coding RNA, 2384 nt
Organism: Anopheles funestus (African malaria mosquito)
Lineage: Eukaryota; Metazoa; Arthropoda; Insecta; Diptera; Culicidae
Exons: 3
Source: RefSeq, a predicted model, not a curated record
GUCUUGGCUAACGUGUCUUGGCUAAUGUGUCUUGGCUAAGGUGUCUUGGCUAAGGUAUCUUGGCUACUGUGUCUUGGCUAAUGUGUCUUGGCUACGGUGUCUUGGCUAAUGUGUCUUGGCUAAUGUGUCUUGGCUAAGGUGUCUUGGUUAAGGUGUCUUGGCUAAUGUGUCUUGGCUAAGGUGUCUUGGCUAAUGUGUCUUGGCUAAGGUGUCUUGGCUAAUGUGUCUUGGCUAAUGUGUCUUGGCUAAUGUGUCUUGGCUAAGGUGUCUUCGCUAAUGUGUCUUGGCUAAUGUGUCUUGGCUAAGGUGUCUUGGCUAAGGUGUCUUGGCUAAUGUGUCUCGGCAAAUGUGUCUUGGCUAAGGUGUCUUGGCUAAUGUGUCUUGGCUAAUGUGUCUUGGCUAAGGUGUCUUGGCUAAGGUGUCUUGGCUAAGGUGUCUUGGCUAAUGUGUCUUGGCUAAUGUGUCUUGGCUAAUGUGUCUUGGCUAAUGUGUCUUGGCUAAGGUGUCUUGGCUAAUGUGUCUUGGCUAAGGUGUCUUGGGUAAUGUGUCUUGGCUAAUGUGUCUUGGCUAAGGUGUCUUGGUUAAGGUGUCUUGGCUAAUGUGUCUUGGCUAAGGUGUCUUGGCUAAUGUGUCUUGGCUAAUGUGUCUUGGAUAAUGUGUCUUGGCUAAGGUGUCUUGGCUAAUGUGUCUUGGCUAAUGUGUCUUGGCUAAGGUGUCUUGGCUAAUGUGUCUUGGCUAAGGUGUCUUGGCUAAUGUGUCUUGGCUAAGGUGUCUUGGCUAAUGUGUCUUGGCUAAGGUGUCUUUGCUAAUGUGUCUUGGCUAAUGUGUCUUGGCUAAGGUGUCUUGGCUAAGGUGUAUUGGCUAAUGUGUCUUGGCUUAAGUGUCUUGGCUAAUGUGUCUCGGCUAAUGUGUCUUGGCUAAGGUGUCUCGGAUAAUGUGUCUUGGCUAAGGUGUCUUGGCUAAGGUGUCUUGGCUAAUGUGUCUUGGCUAAGGUGUCUUGGCUAAUGUGUCUUGGCUAUGGUGUCUUGGCUAAGGUGUCUUGGCUAAUGUGUCUUGGCUAAGGUGUCUUGGCUAAGGUGUCUUGGCUAAUGUGUCUUGGCUAAGGUGUCUUGGCUAAGGUGUCUUGGCUUAUGUGUCUUGGCUAAGGUGUCUUGGCUAAUGUGUCUUGGCUAAGGUGUCUUGGCUAAUGUGUCUUGGCUAAGGUGUCUUGGCUAAUGUGUCUUGGCUAAGGUGUCUUGGCUAAUGUGUCUUGGCUAAGGUGUUUUGGCUAGUGUGUCUUGGCUAAGGUGUCUUGGCUUAUGUGUCUUGGCUAAUGUGUCUUGGCUAAAGUGUCUUGGCUAAAGUGUCUUGGCUAAUGUGUCUUGGCUAAUGUGUCUUGGCUAAUGUGUCUUGGCUAAGGUGUCUUGGCUAAGGUGUCUUGGCUAAUGUGUCUCGGCAAAUGUGUCUUGGCUAAUGUGUCUUUUCUAAUGUGUCUUGGCUAAUGUGUCUUGGCUAAGGUGUCUUGGCUAAGGUGUCUUGGCUAAGGUGUCUUGGCUAAUGUGUCUUGGCUAAUGUGUCUUGGCUAAUGUGUCUCGGCUCAAGUGUCUUGGCUAAUGUGUCUUGGCUAAUUUGUCUUGGCUAAGGUGUCUUGGCUAAUGUGUCUUGGCUACGGUGUCUUGGGUAAUGUGUCUUGGCUAAUGUGUCUUGGCUAAGGUGUCUUGGUUAAGGUGUCUUGGCUAAUGUGUCUUGGCUAAGGUGUCUUGGCUAAUGUGUCUUGGCUAAGGUGUCUUGGCUUAUGUGUCUUGGCUAAUGUGUCUUGGCUAUGUGUCUUGGCUAAGGUGUCUUGGCUAAUGUGUCUUGGCUAAUGUGUCUUGGCUAAGGUGUCUUGGCUAAGGUGUCUUGGCUAAUGUGUCUCGGCAAAUGUGUCUUGGCUAAGGUGUCUUGGCUAAUGUGUCUUGGCUAAUGUGUCUUGGCUAAGGUGUCUUGGCUAAGGUGUCUUGGCUAAGGUGUCUUGGCUAAGGUGUCUUGGCUAAUGUGUCUUGGCUAAUGUGUCUUGGCUAAGGUGUCUUGGCUAAUGUGUCUUGGUUAAGGUGUCUUGGCUAAUGUGUCUUGGCUAAGGUGUCUUGGCUAAGGUGUCUUGGCUAAUGUGUCUUGGCUAAUGUGUCUUGGCUAAUGUGUCUUGGCUAAUGUGUCUUGGCUAAUGUGUCUUGGCUAAGGUGUCUUGGCUAAUGUGUCUUGGCUAAGGUGUCUUGGCUAAGGUGUCUUGGCUAAGGUGUCUUGGGUAAUGUGUCUUGGCUAAUGUGUCUUGGCUAAGGUGUCUUGGUUAAGGUGUCUUGGCUAAUGUGUCUUGGCUAAGGUGUCUUUGCUAAUGUGUCUUGGCUAAUGUGUCUUGGCUUAUUUGUCUU